GUUGGGAACUGAACCCAGGUCCUCUGCAAGAGCAACAAAUGCUCUUAACUGCCGAGCCAUCUCUCCAGCCCAUAAAUAUUUAAACUCUUAUUUGGGGAGGAGCCAUCAUAGAGAGCAGCAAGAGCCUCAGCAGCAAGAUCACCAUGGGGGUGGGGGGUGAAUGUGGCCACGCUGAUGGGGCUCAGAGAGUGUAAAAUGGUCAGUUCACAGAUUGAACUGUGAGGUGGGAGCCAGGCUGAUAUACCUUUACCCACAUUGCCAGGAAGCAUGAAGGAGCUGUCUGGCAGAGGCCUUACAAAGAUCUGGAAAGUUUUAAGUAGUAUUAGUGCAGGGUGCAGGCCAGAGAGCCUGCACUAAUCAAGGUGUUGCUCCCCCCUCAACCCAUGGUUUAUUUUGUUUCAUUCUGAGGUUUUAUCUUUGCCUUGAUGGUACUUCAUGUUUUCCUAUAUUAUCAUUAUCGUGUGUAUGAACCAUGUAUACAUGCUCAGGUGCACGUCAAAGGGCAACCUUCAAGAGUCUGUUCUCUCCUUCCACUGUGGAUUCCAGGGAUGGAACUCAGGUAGUUAGGCUUGUAAAUACUUUCUUUACCCACUGGGACAUCUCACCAGGCCUUGCAUAUGUUCUUCUAUGUUGACUGUCAAGUGCAGUGCUCACUCUAUCUGCCGCUGGCUGUUUAAUUUCUACUAUUAGUGCUUUAGACACAGGGUUUCCCUGUGUAACAGCUCUGGGUGUCCUGGAGUUUGCUUUGUAGACCAGGCUGGCCUUGAACUCACAGAGAUCUGCCUGUCUCUGCUUCUGGAGUGCUGACAUUAAAGGUGUGCACCACCACAGCCUGGAUACUAUUAGCACUUUUAUAAAACUAUAAUUUCCGCUAUAAUAGUGUAUGUGUAUAAUAAACUCUCAGAAGAGCAUCAACACUACAAAGAAAAAUAUUUAUUGAGAUCACUGUUUUCUACUAACAUUAAUUUAGCAAGAAAAAUAAAAAAUCAGUUGAAACACAGUAAGAUGGCUAGAUACAAGAUCAGUAUACAAAUAUAAAUGGUUUUCCAUAUGAACAAUGAAUAUCAAUUAGAAAAUACAAUGGAAGAAGGACUAUUUAAAACUUGGUUAGCUGGGCUUAAUGGUAUGUGGUGAUAUUUUGUUUGUGCUCUAACAAAUAAAGCUUGCUAGAAGAUCAGAGAGUGGAGCUAGCCACUAGUUAACCAUAGAGGUCUGGAGGUCUAUACAGACAGACUGGAAGUGAUAUGGCUUGGUGGAGAGAGGAAUAUAAGGUGAGAGGAGACAGUAGCUCGCUCCUUUUAUCAGCUGAGGAGUUAGCAAGUAAGAGUUGGCUGUGGCUUAUUCCUUUGUUUCUCUAAUCUUUCUGCAUUUCCCCCAUAUCCAGCUCCGGGAUUUUAAUAUUAAGACCAAUUAGAACUCGUGCAACAGUGGCUCACACCUUUAAUCUCAGCACUCAGGAGGCAGAGGCAAGCGGAUUUUUGUGAGUUCAAAGCCAGCUUGAUCUAUAUAUAUCGAGUUCCAGAAAAGCCAGGGCUACAUAGAGACACCUAGUCUCAAACAAACAAAAAAUGGUAUAAAACAGUCUAAGUGUGACAGCAAACACUUAUAAUUCUAGCACUUGGGAAGCAGAAACAGGAGGAUCAGUAUUUUGGGGGUAUUAUAAUCUAAUUACAUUUCUCCCUCUCCUUUCUUCCCUCCAAACCCUUCAAUAGACUCUUCUCUACUCUCCUUCAAAUUCACGACCUCCUUUUCCCCUUGGAGGAUCAACUUCCUAAGAUCAUCAUUGGUUUCAUGUUGAGUUGAAGACCAGUCUGAGGAUCACAGCCUGUCCCACCAGGUUUCAAGCCAGCACUUUACCAAGUGUCUCAUGUAGGCUGGCCUCAAAUCCACUAUGUGGCUGAGUAUGACUUAGAACUUCUGAUCUUCCUGCCUUGGAAUUACAGGUCUGUAUCACAGUGCUUGGCUUUUUGGGCUGCUGGGAUCUCAAGGGAGUAAUGCAUCAGAAUCCAGCAGGCACUGGGCUGAAGACAUAGCUAUACACAAAGGUCUGAAUUCAAUCUCCAGCAUCCCAUAAAAACAGAUGUGGUAGUGCACACCUGUAAUUCCAGUACAUGGGAGGAGGUAAAGGUAGGAAGAUCAGAGGGCCAAGAUCACCUUUAGUUCCAUGGGGGCUUUGAGGCCCACCUAGAGUACAUAAGAUAUUAUGUUUUAUCUUUCUGUUGUUUCUUUGUUUGUUUUUGAAGAAUUCAACAGGUGGAAAAAGAUCCAAAGAAACAGAAAAGAAGGUCUGAAAUAGCCAUAGUACUGGUAAGAAAUUGAAGGGCUCAUUGGUUUGUUUGGUUUGGGGAUAGAACCCAGGACUUCAUGCAUACUAGGCAAGUGCUCUACCACUGAGCUACCUCCCCAGCUGAGCUGCCAGCCUAGCCUGUAAGUGAUUUUUGUAGAAGAAAUUACUCUACUAUUGUAGCUCUACUGCAAUGAUUGCACUAAUUAACAUCAAUUUUAUGAAGCAAGUGUUUUUUUAUACUUAAGUCUACAACUUGCAAAAAUGGGGCAGUCAUUCUCAUCUAUACAACUGUUACUUGAAUGAGGAUGUGGAAAGUGAUCUCAGUGUAGCCAAUGGGAAGUCUAAGUUUGAAACAUCUGGGAGCUUGCAUAUAUGCAUGACUGAGUGCCUCUGUUGUGACCGUGGGAAUGGGAGCUGCUGAAGCUAACUGGAGAUUAUGAUCUUCUUUGCAAGAAUGGGCAUGCACAGUGAGCCACAGUACCAAUCAAAACAAAACUGGUGUCUAGGAUGUAACAUUUGGAACCAUCCCAAUGUCAAUCAAAACAAAUGCCAAGGUGUUACGUUGGAUUCAAGAAUAAUGGACAGAAAAAGAACCGGUUAUCAUGACAAGCCAUGAACUAAAACAGCUGGUAAAGACAGAGAUUGGCUGGGUGUGAUGGGUUAGGCAUGAUGGCUCACACGUUUAAAUUCCGGCAUUCAGGAGGCAGAGGCAGGCAGAUCUCUGUGAGUUCAACGCCAGUUUGUUUAAGUAGUGAGUUCCAGGA
Alexandromys fortis (reed vole) is the source of this 3051-nucleotide long non-coding RNA. RefSeq lists it as uncharacterized. NCBI's taxonomy places the organism in Eukaryota, Metazoa, Chordata, Mammalia, Rodentia, Cricetidae. The transcript is spliced from 3 exons. The record is from RefSeq and is a predicted model, not a curated record.